This 74-nucleotide transfer RNA is filed under the name Nannocystis sp. RNAcentral describes it as "tRNA-Arg". It matches the Rfam family "tRNA". From Rfam's summary of the family: Transfer RNA (tRNA) molecules are approximately 80 nucleotides in length. Their secondary structure includes four short double-helical elements and three loops (D, anti-codon, and T loops). The record is from RNAcentral. Lineage: Bacteria; Pseudomonadati; Myxococcota; Nannocystales; Nannocystaceae.
GCUCGCAUAGCUCAGUUGGAUAGAGCGACAGUUUCCUAAACUGUAGGUCGCAGGUUCGAUCCCUGCUGCGGGCG